Molecule: ribosomal RNA, 1087 nt
Filed under: Vibrio crassostreae
Lineage: Bacteria; Pseudomonadati; Pseudomonadota; Gammaproteobacteria; Vibrionales; Vibrionaceae
Description: bacterial SSU rRNA
Rfam family: Bacterial small subunit ribosomal RNA
Source: RNAcentral
GCGCUAUCUCUUGACGUUAGCAACAGAAGAAGCACCGGCUAACUCCGUGCCAGCAGCCGCGGUAAUACGGAGGGUGCGAGCGUUAAUCGGAAUUACUGGGCGUAAAGCGCAUGCAGGUGGUUCAUUAAGUCAGAUGUGAAAGCCCGGGGCUCAACCUCGGAACUGCAUUUGAAACUGGUGAACUAGAGUACUGUAGAGGGGGGUAGAAUUUCAGGUGUAGCGGUGAAAUGCGUAGAGAUCUGAAGGAAUACCAGUGGCGAAGGCGGCCCCCUGGACAGAUACUGACACUCAGAUGCGAAAGCGUGGGGAGCAAACAGGAUUAGAUACCCUGGUAGUCCACGCCGUAAACGAUGUCUACUUGGAGGUUGUGGCCUUGAGCCGUGGCUUUCGGAGCUAACGCGUUAAGUAGACCGCCUGGGGAGUACGGUCGCAAGAUUAAAACUCAAAUGAAUUGACGGGGGCCCGCACAAGCGGUGGAGCAUGUGGUUUAAUUCGAUGCAACGCGAAGAACCUUACCUACUCUUGACAUCCAGAGAAGCCAGCGGAGACGCAGGUGUGCCUUCGGGAGCUCUGAGACAGGUGCUGCAUGGCUGUCGUCAGCUCGUGUUGUGAAAUGUUGGGUUAAGUCCCGCAACGAGCGCAACCCUUAUCCUUGUUUGCCAGCGAGUAAUGUCGGGAACUCCAGGGAGACUGCCGGUGAUAAACCGGAGGAAGGUGGGGACGACGUCAAGUCAUCAUGGCCCUUACGAGUAGGGCUACACACGUGCUACAAUGGCGCAUACAGAGGGCAGCAAGCUAGCGAUAGUGAGCGAAUCCCAAAAAGUGCGUCGUAGUCCGGAUUGGAGUCUGCAACUCGACUCCAUGAAGUCGGAAUCGCUAGUAAUCGUAGAUCAGAAUGCUACGGUGAAUACGUUCCCGGGCCUUGUACACACCGCCCGUCACACCAUGGGAGUGGGCUGCAAAAGAAGUGGGUAGUUUAACCUUUCGGGGAGGACGCUCACCACUUUGUGGUUCAUGACUGGGGUGAAGUCGUAACAAGGUAGCCCUAGGGGAACCUGGGGCUGGAUCACCUCCUUAUACGAAGAUA